This 435-nucleotide ribosomal RNA is filed under the name uncultured bacterium. RNAcentral's name for it is "partial 16S ribosomal RNA". It matches the Rfam family "Bacterial small subunit ribosomal RNA", at positions 28 to 507 of the family's 1533-position model. The record is from RNAcentral.
GAUGAACGCUGGCGGUAUGCUUAACACAUGCAAGUCGAACGGACUCUUCGGAGUUAGUGGCGGACGGGUGAGUAACGCGUGAGAAUCUGGCUUUGGGUUCGGGACAACCACUGGAAACGGUGGCUAAUACCGGAUGUGCCGAGAGGUAAAAGAGAAAUUGCCUGAAGAUGAGCUCGCGUCUGAUUAGCUAGUUGGUGAGGUAAAGGCUCACCAAGGCAGCGAUCAGUAGCUGGUCUGAGAGGAUGACCAGCCACACUGGGACUGAGACACGGCCCAGACUCCUCCGGGGGGCAGCAGUGGGGAAUUUUCCGCAAUGGGCGAGUGACUGACGGAGCACUACCGCGUGAGGGAAGAAGGCUCUUGGGUUGUACACCUCUUUUCUUAGCGAAGAACAAAAUGACGGUACCUAAGGAAUCAGCAUCGGCUAACUCCGUG